UACGAAGGUCCCAAGCGUUGUUCGGAAUCACUGGGCGUAAAGGGAGCGUAGGCGGCGUGGUAAGUCAGAUGUGAAAUCCCGGGGCUCAACCCCGGAACUGCAUCCGAUACUGCCAUGCUAGAGGAUUGGAGAGGUAGCUGGAAUUCUUGGUGUAGCAGUGAAAUGCGUAGAGAUCAAGAGGAACACUCGUGGCGAAAGCGAGCUACUGGACAAUUCCUGACGCUGAGGCUCGAAAGCGUGGGGAUCAAGCAGG
This 253-nucleotide ribosomal RNA is filed under the name uncultured bacterium. Its description in RNAcentral is "partial 16S ribosomal RNA". It matches the Rfam family "Bacterial small subunit ribosomal RNA", at positions 524 to 776 of the family's 1533-position model. The record is from RNAcentral.